Molecule: ribosomal RNA, 500 nt
Filed under: uncultured bacterium
Lineage: Bacteria
Description: partial 16S ribosomal RNA
Rfam family: Bacterial small subunit ribosomal RNA
Source: RNAcentral
AUUGAACGCUGGCGGAAUGCUUUACACAUGCAAGUCGAACGGCAGCACGGGGGCAACCCUGGUGGCGAGUGGCGAACGGGUGAGUAAUACAUCGGAACGUGCCCAGUCGUGGGGGAUAACGUAGCGAAAGUUACGCUAAUACCGCAUACGAUCUACGGAUGAAAGCGGGGGACCGUAAGGCCUCGCGCGAUUGGAGCGGCCGAUGUCAGAUUAGGUAGUUGGUGAGGUAAAGGCUCACCAAGCCGACGAUCUGUAUCUGGUCUGAGAGGACGACCAGCCACACUGGGAGUGAGACACGGCCCAGACUCCUACGGGAGGCAGCAGUGGGGCAUUUUGGACAAUGGGCGCAAGCCUGAUCCAGCCAUUCCGCGUGCAGGACGAAGGCCUUCGGGUUGUAAACUGCUUUUGUACGGAACGAAAAGGCUCUGGUUAAUACCUGGGGCUCAUGACGGUACCGUAAGAAUAAGCACCGGCUAACUACGUGCCAGCCGCCGCAGUAA